UAAUAGACUACCCAGGUAGUCCACGCCCUAAACGAUGCGAACUGGAUGUUGGGUACAUUACGGUACUCAGUGUCGAAGCUAACGCGUUAAGUUCGCCGCCUGGGGAGUACGGUCGCAAGACUGAAACUCAAAGGAAUUGACGGGGGCCCGCACAAACGGUGGAGUAUGUGGUCUAAUUCGAUGCAACGCGAAGAACCUUACCUGGCCUUGACAUCUGUCGAAUCCUGCAGAGAUGCGGGAGUGCCGCAAGGAACGACAAGACAGGUGCUGCAUGGCUGUCGUCAGCUCGUGUCGUGAGAUGUUGGGUUAAGUCCCGCAACGAGCGCAACCCUUGUCCCUAGUUGCCAGCACGUAAUGGUGGGAACUCUAGGGAGACUGCCGGUGACAAACCGGAGGAAGGUGGGGAUGACGUCAAGUCCUCAUGGCCCUUACGGGCCAGGGCUACACACGUACUACAAUGGUCGGUACGAGAGGGUUGCGAAGCCGCGAGGUGGAGCCAAUCCCAGAAACCGAUCCCAGUCCGGAGUCGGAGU
This 533-nucleotide ribosomal RNA is filed under the name uncultured bacterium. Its description in RNAcentral is "bacterial SSU rRNA". It matches the Rfam family "Bacterial small subunit ribosomal RNA", at positions 776 to 1305 of the family's 1533-position model. The record is from RNAcentral.